This 238-nucleotide ribosomal RNA is filed under the name uncultured bacterium. Its description in RNAcentral is "partial 16S ribosomal RNA". It matches the Rfam family "Bacterial small subunit ribosomal RNA", at positions 96 to 334 of the family's 1533-position model. The record is from RNAcentral.
CGGCGGACGGGUGAGUAACGCGUGGGCAACCUGCCUCAUACAGGGGGAUAACAGUUAGAAAUGACUGCUAAUACCGCAUAAGCGCACAGGACCGCAUGGUGUAGUGUGAAAAACUCCGGUGGUAUGAGAUGGACCCGCGUCUGAUUAGGUAGUUGGUGGGGUAAAGGCCUACCAAGCCGACGAUCAGUAGCCGACCUGAGAGGGUGACCGGCCACAUUGGGACUGAGGCACGGCCCAA